AUAAUUGUUUUUGUUGCCGUGAGCCAGGCAACAGCUGUGAGGGAGAGCGUGUGUCCUCCUCCCCCCCGUGCAGGACCACCACCCUGACUCUGUCUCCUGACAGCCGA
Long non-coding RNA from Sander lucioperca (pikeperch), 107 nucleotides. RefSeq lists it as uncharacterized. NCBI's taxonomy places the organism in Eukaryota, Metazoa, Chordata, Actinopteri, Perciformes, Percidae. The record is from RefSeq and is a predicted model, not a curated record. The transcript is spliced from 3 exons.